UUGCUUUGGCAGCACAUAUACUAAAAUUAGAAUCAUACAGAGAAGGUUAGCCUGGAUCCUGUGCAAGGAUUCUUGAAGUGUUCCAUAUUAAA
RNAcentral lists this small nuclear RNA (92 nucleotides) under Balaenoptera musculus (blue whale). Lineage: Eukaryota; Metazoa; Chordata; Mammalia; Artiodactyla; Balaenopteridae. The record is from RNAcentral.